UACGGAAGGCAGCAGUGGGGAAUAUUGCACAAUGGGCGCAAGCCUGAUGCAGCCAUGCCGCGUGUAUGAAGAAGGCCUUCGGGUUGUAAAGUACUUUCAGUCGUGAGGAAGGUGUUAAGGUUAAUAACCUUAGCAAUUGACGUUAGCGACAGAAGAAGCACCGGCUAACUCCGUGCCAGCAGCCGCGGUAAUACGGAGGGUGCGAGCGUUAAUCGGAAUUACUGGGCGUAAAGGGCACGCAGGCGGUUAAUUAAGUUGGAUGUGAAAUCCCCGGGCUUAACCUGGGAAUGGCAUUCAAGACUGGUUAGCUAGAGUCUUGUAGAGGGGGUAGAAUUCCAUGUGUAGCGGUGAAAUGCGUAGAGAUGUGGAGGAAUACCGGUGGCGAAGGCGGCCCCUGGACAAAAGACUGACGCUCAUGUGCG
RNAcentral lists this ribosomal RNA (422 nucleotides) under uncultured bacterium. RNAcentral's name for it is "bacterial SSU rRNA". It matches the Rfam family "Bacterial small subunit ribosomal RNA", at positions 340 to 755 of the family's 1533-position model. The record is from RNAcentral.